Molecule: long non-coding RNA, 242 nt
Filed under: Lathyrus oleraceus (garden pea)
Lineage: Eukaryota; Viridiplantae; Streptophyta; Magnoliopsida; Fabales; Fabaceae
Description: Pisum sativum (pea) long non-coding RNA (PSAT_LNC014689)
Source: RNAcentral
UUAUGCUAUGACAUGAUAGCAAAGUCCCAAACAGAAGAGGGGCAUCUGGUGGAUCUGGCCAAGCUAAGUGGACUGGUUGAGACAAUUCAAACUGAGGUUGAAUUCGAAUAAGUGCACUAUCAGAGUGUGGUCCGGUAAGAUGUUGGGGUUCAUUGUAAGAGAGGAAUCGAGGUUGAUCCUGCUAAAAAAAAAAAAAAAAAGAAAUGCCUGAACCGAGAAUGGAAAGAGAGGUUCGUGGUCUC